AUGCUAUUUGCUGAUGACAUAGUCUUGAUAGACGAGAGGAGGGUCGGUGUUAAUGAGAGGUUAGAGGUAUGGAGACAGACUCAUGAGUCUAAGGGUUUCAAAAUAAGCAAAUCUAAGACAGAAUACCUGGAGUGCAAGUUUAGUGCCGAGCCGAGCGAAGUAGGCAGGGACGUGAUGAUUGUUUCAAAAUAAGCAAAUCGAAGAUAGAAUACCUAGAGUGCAAGUUUAGCGCCAAGCCGAGCGAAGUAGGCAGGGACGUGAUGAUUAGAUCGCAGGUCAUCGCCAAGAGGGACAGUGUCAGAUAUCUUGGAUCGGUGAUUCAGGGGGACGAGGAGAUUGACGGGGACGUCACUCAUCGUAUAGGAUCGGGGUGGUCAAAAUGGAGGCUUGCAUCAGGAGUCCUGUGUGACAAGAAAGUUCCACUGAAACUCAAGGGGAAAUUU
Molecule: long non-coding RNA, 443 nt
Filed under: Nicotiana benthamiana
Lineage: Eukaryota; Viridiplantae; Streptophyta; Magnoliopsida; Solanales; Solanaceae
Description: long non-coding RNA (NBEN_LNC016146)
Source: RNAcentral